RNA transcript from Harpia harpyja (harpy eagle), 1759 nucleotides. It is a transcript of the gene named signal-regulatory protein gamma-like, with no coding region annotated. Lineage: Eukaryota; Metazoa; Chordata; Aves; Accipitriformes; Accipitridae. The transcript has 6 exons. The record is from RefSeq and is a predicted model, not a curated record.
UCGCCAAACCGAGAAGGAGCCCGAGCCGCUCUCCUGCCCCGUCCCCGCUGGGGCCAGACCCGGAGCCGCUUCGCCCUCGGCGGAUGCCCUUCGGGGAUAAAGCCCGGCGGAGCUGCCGGCCGAUUCUGCCGCUUUGCCCGCCCCGGGGCAGGCACCAAAAGCGUUAACAGCCCGCUCCCUCUCGCCUCCAUUUCCUGUGCAGCUUCUCCUUUUUCCUUCUCCCGGAGCCCGGAGCCCAAAGUUUGGCAGUGCCGAUGGCCUGGCGUGCCGCUGCGGCCGUUCGGCUCCUAUUCGGCCAGCUCAGCCUCUUCCCGCUGUGGUUCUCGGGUGUGGGUGCCCAGGGGGGUCCGGACUUCGAGCUGCAGCAGCCCCAGGACAAGGUGUCGGUGGCAGCGGGGCAGACGCUCACCCUGACCUGCACCACGUCGGGAACUGGUCCCACUGGCCCUGUGAAGUGGCUGAAGGGCUGGGGCAGUGGGAACGAGACCGUUUAUGAACAGAGGGGUUCCUUCCCCCGCGUGACGAGGGUAGUGAGUGAGUCCAACACAGACUUCAGCAUCUGCAUCAGGGAUGUUCGCCCCGAGGAUGCCGGCACCUAUUACUGCGUGAAGUUCAGGAAACUGGUGGGCGGUCUUGAUGUGUUUCGGCGUGGAAAGGGCACGGUGGUGUCCCUGCAUGAUAGAGCCCUGGUUCCCAGCAUGGUGGCUGCAGCUGUAGUGCUCUGCUUCCUCCUCCUCCUUGGCCUCUUUGUCACCCUUUGCAUGUACAGGAGGAAGCGCAGGGGCGAGGCAGAGAGCCAGCGCCUGGCCAGGCUGGCAGCCGUGGGCAGCUUCUUGCCCAUCCGUCUGCGGUGCUGUGCAGGGAACCCUGGCACCCCCAGGUCCGUACCCACCACCUCUUCCUUCUGCACCCCGAGCAGCGAAAUCGUGGAUGCAGAGACCUCACAUCUGCCCAGCCAGCAAGGCAGCAAGGAGGACAAUGACAUCCACUAUGCCGAUCUCCAGCCCCUGCCCGCAGCCCCGCGGCACGGCAGGACCCCCAGCGCAGCCUGCUCCGAGUACGCCAGCAUCAGGGUAGCUGCCAAGUGAUGUGUGGCACCGCAGCCUGCAAGGCCAAAGAGCCCGUUUCGGGGGAGGAAGCAGGGACAUUUCUGCAGGGCACAAUAAAGAAGAAGUGGAUCUGUUUGCAUGGCACGCUCUGGCCCAAGGUCAGCACCCUGUGCUCGGAGCUGGCAAAGCUCCCCUAAUUCAUUCCCAUCUCAGCAGCGGUGCCGGGUUGAGGCUCAGGGCCGGACUCGCCGUGCCAGGGCUCAGCAGCAGCUCUCCCAGGACCCAUCAGCCAUCUCGAACACGGGAUCAAGCCACGAGGCUGAGCACCUCUGCCUUGUGCAAGCUGUUCGGUGCCGAUUACACCAGGAGGACUUCACGCGUGCCUGUCUCCACCAGCAUGGGCCACCACUGGCACUUUCCUGGCUCAGCAGGUAGAGGAACCUGCUGUUUCUGACACCGCUGCUGCCUGUAACCUUGAAAGCUGCUGCAGUUGUCGGUUUCCAACUUUAUCUACUUUUUACGGUGAAAUCAAAAAGAGAAGCGAAACAAGACAGCGUGAAAUAGCAGCGUGUGUGUACGUACCCAAGGGAGCCUUGCUUGCCAGCAGAGAUCCUCUCGGGGAGAGAAUUGUUAUGGGGGAGAGGAGCCACUACUGAAAUUCAUUUGCAUGACUGAAUAAGCAUCUCCUGCUCUGGGGGACGUGCCCUGGG